UUCCAUGUCUCAGGAAUCGAACCUCCAUACUGCGGCUGCCAGCAAAUCUUCUAAUCUAAUCUAACUACUAUAUAAGAGGGAGUUAUACUUUACGGUUCACAAGCCGUUUAAGCCAUUUAACUAAGCCAGGCCGUGUUAUCCUAUAAGUCUGACUAUUACACUGCUUCAGUACAACUCAUCCAACCAUGUCUCAUUAAUGGUGGUUGGACUAACCAACCAUUUCUUCUCUCUGACAUUUUAUCUCUCUUUCAUUGCUUCUUCACUCCAUUUCACACGCAACCACCAUGUCUGUUUACUCUGUAGAUUUUUUUUAUCUUCUUGUCAAUUUUUUUUCUCUUUUUGUAUGUCUUUCUCUCUCGCUAUUCUCUCUGCUCUAAUUGGUAGCAGUUAGAUCUGUACGAGGAAUUCCCAUGGAGAUGUCCUGAAGAUGGAAUUAGAUACAAGCAAAUUGUAGAAAGGAAGCGGCUAUAGAUGUUUCUAAUUGGACUCAACAAAGAUAUUGAUGCUAUUUGACAGAGAAUUCAAGGAACAAAAGCACACCGUUAGCCUUCGAGAAGCAUUCUCUGAUGUCCAACUUAAAGAGAGCAGAAAAAGUCCUUUUUUUAAGUCCGACUACAAGAAAAUAAAUGCAAUAGUAGUGUUUAAAAUUUGCAAUUCAUGGUUUCUUUUUGAUGUCUUUCACUACUAGGCCGUAUAUUAUAGUAGCUUGUUUUAAAUGGAAGGAAUAAUUGUGUAAAAAAAAAAAAGAAGUUCUCUCUGCUCUAAUUUCUUGACAUCUUGUGUAGAUCUUUUGGCUAUGAAUCCUAGGUAUGGUGGAUAGGUUUACCGUUUGUUUCCAUAUCUACAAGAUGUUUUUGGGCUUUACGGUUUUUUCUCGUCCUUCUCUUCAUGAUUUCUUUCUUCAGAUCACAGAACUGGAACCCUAACUUCCAAAAUUUGUAUGCAUUCAAGCACGUAAAGGUAUAUACUCUCCGAUGAAGUUCGGGAAACAGCUAUGCCUCGAACAUGGCAUUAGCAAAGAAGGCAUUCUCGAAGAUUUCGCUACUCAGUACAAUGCUCCAGGGAGGUGACGGGAAAGAUUUUUUUCUAUCAAGCCAAUGAUCAAUCCUAUAUUCCGCGUGCAUUACUAAUGGAUUUGGAGCCCAGAGUGAUUAAUGGUAUACAAAAUGGGGAAUACAGAAAUCUCUACAAUCACAAGAAUGUAAUUAUUGCAGAUCAUGAAGGCAGCGCUGGAAAUAACUAGGCAAGUGGAUACCACCAGGUCAGUAUCUGUUCCUUUUUCAUAAUUGAUGGUAGAUAUUAUAUUCUGUUAAUGUGACAUAUUCUUUUUGUAUUAUGAAAGUAAUAUACUUGGACUAAUAGUACAUAAAAUAUUACUGGAUUGCUGGUAAAGUGCGUGUAAAGCUAUAUAAUGGUAUUCAAUAUAUUUGGUGAGAUGAUUGUUGGCCUAUUGCUCUUUGUAAUCAUGCUUUUUCUGCUUGAAUCCCUAAUGUUAAUUUGAUCCACGCUGGUUUCAAAAGUAAUAACUUUGGCAUUCCAAACUUUUUUUGUCAAGUAAUACUAGAUUUUAAUUUCUGAACGAAGCAACUUCCUUUCUCUAAUCCAUUAACAACGAAGAGGUUUUCGGUACCAUGAACAAAUUUUUUUGACUCAAAUAAUAAGAAAACCAUUUUUUAACAGUACCAUGAACAGUAAAAAAAAUUUGACUCUUUUGACAAAAAAUUUGACUACGACUCUGACGGAACAAAGGGAAGUUGUUUUGGAUGCUAAAUUAGCCCAAAAACAACUUUUGAAAUUUUUUUGGGAUUUCAAUGGAUAAAGACUUAACAAAUGAAGAAAAACAUGAAGAACACAAAAGAAAAUGAUGAAAAAGAAAAAAAAAACACUAAGGCUCAACAAAAAAAAUAAAAAAGAUAUAACCUCAUAACUUUGUUUCAUCAGUUCUGUUGCUGGGUAUUUGAGGAAUGUUUCAAUUGGAUUUCCAAUUAUCAAUGCGGUGAUUGAGCCUGUGGAGUCUUGUAGUUGAACAAUUGCUCUUGCUAUGCUAGAAUGGAAGUGGAAUCAUUAUUACUAUUUUAGGUUCUAUUUGGUGAUGAUUAGAUAAUAAAUAAUUCAUUUAUUCAUAUAAAUGAUGUACUGACAUGAUUAUAAUCUUACCUUGGAGUUGGUGUAGCGUAAUUGUGCUUGCAAAAUCUACAGAAGUAAGUUUCGUUCACAGCCGCACUUGCGGAUUUAUUACAAUUGUCACAUGAUAGAUACCAUAGUGGUUGGUCUAUUUCAGCCAAUGUGACAUUUGGUUUUGUCCUAAAGUGUCAUUGCUGCAAUGUACAGAAUAACAUGUAAAAAAAUGUGUGUUAUGGGCAGAUGUGAGAUGUUGUGUAAGUGAGAAGGUUUAGUAAUUUGGUAUACCAUAUGUUGGAGUUGUUGUAGUUGUUUGAUGCUGACUAACUUGUCUUUUGGUGGACAACAAAUGGUGGCAGAUGUAGGGAAGGUAUAAUCUUUUCUUGUCACAGAUGUCAUUUACUGUGUUCAUGUUGUCUCGAGCCUAAUGUUGAUGUUAGAAUGAAAUUGUUAAAAGUAAAUAAGUAAAUUAAGAGUUAUAAUUACAAUAGAUAUAAGUAUGUAACUGAAUAAGCAAAAAAAAGUACCAGUGCUUUAGUUCAAGAACUUGCUUAAAUGGGGGAUUAAUGAGUAUUGAUGAGUUGAUUUUUGUAGAGACUGAUAUACCUAAAUAGAGAUUGAAUUGAGUUUUUGCAUGUAAGUUUUGAAUUCAUGUGUUCGUGUGAUUGUGCACAAGGAUGAGUGAAUUUCCCAUUGAAAGAAGUGACUCUUAAUCUGUUGCUCACAACAAUUAGUUGUUUGGUGAUUGUGUUGUAGAUCGUAUUACAUUCAUUUGUGAUGAAAUUGAACCACAUCUAAAGCAUAUGUGUUUCUAACCUGUAAGGCCGUUAGCUGUAUUUAAUAUAUAAUAACUAAAAGAGUUAUUUUAGUGUUGGCAGUAGUGAAUUUCUAACAUCUCAUUUAUGAGAAUGACAUCUUGUACCGUUGAUUGCUUGUCACGAAUUUGAAUUACUCUUUUGGGAAAGAUUUCAGUUGCUAUCCCAAUAAUGCCUACAAGAAGUAAUGUAGGUUAGUAAUCAGUGUAAGUUGUAAUUUAUGUUGAAGAUGGAAGUAAUGAAGUGUAAGAUGUUAAUGGGAUUGUAAGUACUUACUAAAUUCUGCAUUUGUAUCCAUGUAUGGCUGAAGAUUUUCGAAUGAUAUGAAGUUGUAAGCUGAAGAAAGGAGAGAGUUAAAUUGUUCAUUGACUUCAACAAUGUUUGUUUUUGCAUUGAUUGUCCAUCGGAUGUCACCAAGUUGGGCCUUGUAAUUUUUAUCUGUUUCUUUAACUUGUGCAUUUGAGAUGAGGUAUGUUUUGUGUGGUAGUAAGGAGCUAGAAAGGCGCUAUGUGAGGCAGGAAGUUGUCAACCUAGAAAAAGGAAAAUGAAGUUUACUGUGUGAAAGAAUAGAGCAGAAGAACAAUAUAUUUGGAUAUAGAAUCUAAUUGAUAUGGUGUUCCUUAAUAAAGAGAAUGGAGGAUUUGUAUAUUUAGAAAUUCAAUAUUUUACAUCCUUUCAUUUAUAUAAUUUGGAAUGAGAUACAUUUGAGAUUUCAAAAUUUAAGCACCUGAAUGAAUUAAAUGCACGUGGGACAUUUUUUUUUUCUUGAAUGGAAGAAAGAGUUUGAUUAGAUUGAAAAAUUGAUAAACGGAUAUUUAGAGUUGAUGGUUUUGAUUUAUUGUGGAUCAAAGUUCCAAACAAAGGAAGUCAAAUUAUGAGAGAUGAUUUACCUUAGGAUCCUUCAACCAAAUAAAUUGGUAUUUCAAUGGACUGUUCCUAGCUUUGGUGGGAGAGCAUUUUUCUGAAACUACUGCCUUUACAGUCCAGCCAGAUUCUCCAGGUUUGAUGUCAGGUAUAAGUUUGUAUUCUGUGGCCAUCUUUAUCUGCAAAGAAUUUAAUUUGAUUAGUAGAUGAAAAUGGUUAGAAAUAUAAUAGUUAAAACAAAAUACAGAUAUAGAAAGAUAUAUGGAUGAUGUUUGUGAAAAUGUUUGCAAUUAAUGUAUGCUGUUGUGGAUGGAAGAAAGGGAUUACGAAGAUAAAGAGCAAGGAGCAACUGAAGUUAGAGAAGAUAAAGUGGAUGCACUUUUAUUUGGUGGCUUAUAUGUAUGUUGAGAGAUGGGGUGGUAGUGGAAUCUGAUGAAAGUUUUAGAAUCAGUGGUCAGGAAGAUAGAUUUCUAUUUUGAAUAUAGCUUGGAAAAUUCUUAGUGGCAAGGAAGAACUUGAUUUACUGCCAUAAGCAGAGGUUUUCAAGGAAAGGUUGUGAGAAGUUGGUUGCCCAAAGAAACCAUUUUUAUUUCGUGGUCCAUCUUCUAUUGAGCUACCCAAAGAAACCAUUAAACCAGUUUAGUACGAUAGUUGUAAAAUAACGAAGUAGAAGUAACAAAUCUUUUACCCCCAAGAACUCUAUCAUAAGACCACAUUUAACUAAUACAUCAAUUACCAUUAACAAGAAUCAUAAAUGGAUCUAAUUUGAAAAUAUGUUGCCUAAUCCAAUCAAUAGAGAUAGCAUGGAAAUCUACAAAAAUAAUACAGCCUUCGGCAGCUUUGGCAGAAAGCUCUUGAACCUUUGUAUAUGCCUCCAAGUGUGCUGCUCCAAGAUGUUUUAGGGGUUCCUCUGCAGCACCCCAAGUUUGUCUUUCCCCUAGAGGUUCUCUUUUCGAAGAUUCUAAUUUUUCGUAAAGCUCCAUUAUUGGACGCCAGAUGGUGUAGCUCCAUAGCUUUAUUUUGAUUUCAAGCUUGCCAGAAUCAAGAAUGCAUUUUCAUAUCUACAAAGUUAGACUUCAAAUAUUCAUUGUGAAAACUAAAUUGUACUGCAGUCUCUUGAAGUUGAUCAUGGCCAUAAUUAGUAUCUUUAUUUCCAUCAUGUAAUCCAUUUCCCUUGAUAAGAUACCUACCACUCCUGUCUUCUAUAUUAUACAGAUCAUGAUCCUCUUCUACGCGAUUAGUUGGUGUCUGACCACUAUAAAACCCUUCUUAAGACAUUGUGGUAAAGUUUUACCAAAGAGCUGGAAAUUAAUAAACGACAUGAUCAGUAAAGGAUAAACAUAGGCUAGAAUUAAUAAGAUACCACAUUGACAUUAACCCUGAAAUAAAGUGAUAGCAUCAAUAUUAUAUAGUACUUUCCCACAUUUACUUUGACGUGGGGGAAUCCUCUAUUUCAUUUUAUUUCAAUUUCGAGGCAGUUAAAUUCGAUGAAGCCAUCAUUUACAUCAAUUGAAGAAAAAAUUAGAACUAACUUGAACAAUAAAGAGGCAAAUAUAUUCAAAAUUGGUAAUAAAUCAUUUUAUAGUUACCCUAUAUUGGCUGUUAGACUCGUUUUUCUUGAGUUAAAGUGCUUCCUAUCCUUUGUCUACUUGAAAGCGUAGGAAAAGGGCUUGAGUUACUAAUCCGAUAGAUAGAUGAAUCAAUGAAUUGAACCACAAGGAAAAUCUGAAGUUCGCUGAAACAUGAGCCCAAUACGUAAUUACAGCACAAUAGUUCAAAAUGAAAAAUAAUCAGUACCACGAAGUUGGUACAGUUAAAAUAAAAACAAAACAGAAAUUUAAAAUUCAUCACAAAAAAAGGAGCUGUAACAUUUCAACUACAACACCAGAACAGCACACAAUUAAAUUUAAACUAUUUGGUUCUGACUAAUGUCAUAGUGGAAAACAUAAAGGAAAGCAAUGAAUAAUGAAAAAGGAGAACAAAAUAAGAAAGAGCAAGGGAUCACAUGAAAGACUACAAUAUCACAUUUGAUUGUGUUUGGCAAAAAAUGUGCUUUGUGGUUUUGUAGGUUAUACAUUAUGAGAGUGAACUAACAUUUCAACUUGGAUUCUAUUCCAUUUCCAGUAAGUCUUCCAGAUCAAUGACAAUUGUUCAUGGUUAAAUGAAAGCUCAAGGUCUCACAUGUGUAUAGACAAUGAGAUCUAUCAUAUGUUGAGUGCAGUAAUAACUAAUUAAUUGCAUUAUCCAAGAAUAGGAUCGAAUCCACAAAUUUUACCUAUGAUUCUUUUGUUGAGGACUGCUACAAGAUUCUUUAACAGCUGCCUGCAUGAGGAGAAACACUGGGAGUUUCAUGGCUCAUGGUAAUUUAAAAUGUCUAUUGUUUACAGCAUAAAAAGAGGUGAAAAUUUUUAAAAUAAUUUGAAGAAAUGGAAACAAUAAGCAGAGAAUAUACCUCGCAUUGAUCAGAAUUUGUUACUGAACCCAACUGCGCAAACUGAUUUCCACCAAAAGCAUAGACACAACCAUGCAUAUGGUAUGCCACAACGUAGCUGCAACUGCUUCAAUUUGAGAUCCCAAUAAAAAAAGUCACAGAAGUUGGUCUCAGCAUGUAUGUACUCUAUUUCCUUGUUCACACUGCAUAAAAAAGGGGCUUAUUUUGCAAAUGUAAAUGCUUAACAAAGUAGACUAAAAACACCAAACCCAAACCUGGUUACGUUAAGGUUUUUAUCUGAUUUUUGUUACUUUAGUUAUAUGCUGGAUCCUGAAAUGAAAACGAGGAAACCUCAAAAAUAACUACAAGCAGGACCAAUUGGAAGGCAUCCCGUUUGGGGGUUCCAUAGACAAAACUAAAGGUAUGCAUCUAAAAAGCUAUUACUGAAUAUGCAAUUGCAACUUCAUUUUUUCUUCUCUAACCUGGAUUUCUCUUUAUGAAUGAGUAAUUUCACUUUCAUCACAUCAAAAGGUAUGUGCUUUUGGAUAGUGCUUCGAAAAAAUUUUCUAAUGAGUACAAGUUGGGAAAAGAAGUGGGUAGAGUUCAUUUUGGGUAUACUUGCCAUGAAUGGGUAAAACCAUUUAUUAAAUCCUAGCAAUAUCUGUUCGUUGUUUUCCCAGGUCAAGAAGUUUUACACUUGGAGCUUAUUAAAGCUUGAACAUCACGAUUGUUUUAACUUUUUGCUAUAGACAUUGUUUUAUAUAUGAAUCUGCAAAAAAAAAAUUAGGAGUUUUUAGACAUUUAGUUAAUUUCCAUAUUAUGUUUAUAUAUUUGAUUGAUGAGCAAUGUUACUUUCUUGUAAUAAAUUGCGUUUUUUUUUUCCAAAUACAGAGAAAUAUGUUUCAUUACACAUCGAAGAUGAUGACGCUGAAGUUGUAGAGAAAAGAAAUAAGGAUAAUCUAAUUAGUGUUGCAUCAAGUGAGAAGGAUUUGAAACGUGCUCCUUUUUCUUUUUUUUCUUUUUUUUUUUUUUUUUUUUUUUUUUUUUUUUUUGGUUUACUUACCGGACCAAGUUUAAGAAGAGGAAACUUAUAGGACCGAAGGUUGCUAUUAAGGUCAUUCUACAAGCGAGUUGCUGGUGUCACCAGUUCAGAGUCAAUUUCUCUCUUUCCUAAUCGCGAAAUUGAAGAUGAUCAAGUAGGUAGCUAUUCUGCGACUUAUACCCAUCAGCUUGGUGUUCAUUCAGAGCUAAUACCAUCAAUAUUUACAAUAAAUGAAGGUUCGUUUUCGAUACCAAACAAAUCACGUGUAUUACCUUGCCCUAUGUUAUGUGAAUAUUAUGGGGCUCUAAAAUUUAAAGAUGAACCGAAAGGUUUUUGUUGUUGUGAUGGAGCUGUUAGAUUGAAAGUGAAUGAUACCCCAGAUGAAUUACAUCAUUUAUUUACAUCAAAUUCUGUUGAAUCCAUUGAAUUUAAAAUUUACGUACGAACUUACAAUAGCAAUUUCUCAUUCACUUCAUUUGGUGUGCAUUAUGAUAAAGAUUUGUGCAAAAGAAACAAAGGAAUCUAUACCUUUAGAAUUCAAGGUCAAAUAUAUCAUUUUAUAAAUGACAUUCUUGUACAAACGGUCGCCCUUCUUAUGUGCAGCUCUAUUUUUUUGACACUGAAAAUGAAAUAGAGCAUCGACUACAACUUUCUGAAAAGUUAACAAAGUGUAUACUUUCAAAGCUUGUCAAAGUGAUGGAACUGAAUUCAUACGCAAUUUUUUUUCGAACUUUAACAAAUAUUCCAAAUUUGAAAUCUCAGUCUUAAAAUUAGAUCUGAUUGUGGAUUAGAUCAAAGAGUAUAUAACACAUCAUGUGCAUCUUAGGUAGCUGCUAUUUGGGUUGAUGAUGAUUCUACUACUAAUGAACGAGUGCGUGAUAUAACUGUUUCUUGCAAUUCUGGAGAAAAACAUCAAGUACAUUAUUAUUUUGGUUGUUAUGAUCCACUUCAAUACCGCUUACUGUUUCCUUUUGGCGAAACUGGUUGGCACCAAUGUAUUGUUAGAAUUGACAAAUGCAGAAAACAACAAACAUGUGCAAAUGAAAAUUUAUUUGACAUUCAUCAAUUAAAUUCCGCUAAAGAAAUUUUGCAGUGGAAAAUACAGGUGAAUAAUGCAAGAUGCAUAAAAGAAGAGAUUUUUUCAAAAGCAGAAACACAAAUGUUAAAAGCUAAAAUUGGGUAGAGAAGAAAUUCCUACCAACUAAACUUCAAUGAUAAUGCGUAUAGUAUAUCUUUGGAUAAAGAUUUUGAGAGCUAAAAACUAACUAAAUAUAAAUAUUGUAAUUCGCUAACCUUCUGAAAAUUCUUGAUUAGUAGCAUCAAGUGGAAAAAUGAAGUUUUGGUUCAUUUGUAACUGAGACUGUAUCGGGGAUCCAAUUGGGGUGCUGGCCGAUAGGUUUGGCAGGAAAUGAUUAUGUUGAUGCUGAUUUUUCAAGUCCAUCAGUUGCAUGUUUAUCAUUCUUUUGCCUUAAAGAUCAAUGGCGUGCUGUAAUUCCACCUCCUGCUGACCUCAGGGGCGAAGCCAGAAUUUUUACCCAGUGCGGGCACAAUUUUAGAUAUCGACUACAGUGAUUUUUUUAGUCUGAUUUUUAGUCCCUACGCCCGUGGUUGUUGUUGCUUCUUCUCACUGUGGUCCCCACUUUCGUCGGUGGCAGUGCAAUUCAAAGCAGUCGGAGGAGUCAUCAAUUAUUAGAAAUUCGUGAUGCAGGACCAUAAUUUCGGCAAGAAUCAUCCAUGAGUAAUAAAAUACUAAACCUCCAAAAAGUUACAAUAGGCAAUAUUAAAGUAUAAUGGUAAACAUUUAAACUUUUAAAAUUAUAAACAUAUUAACAUUGAAGGUACAAUAACAGUAAACUUUUAAAAUUAUAAACAUAUUAACAUUGAAGGUACAAUAAUAUUAAACUUUUAAAUUGAGCAAAUAUUAAGAAACAAUAUUAAAGUAU
Long non-coding RNA from Olea europaea var. sylvestris, 9216 nucleotides. RefSeq lists it as uncharacterized. The transcript has 4 exons. The record is from RefSeq and is a predicted model, not a curated record. Lineage: Eukaryota; Viridiplantae; Streptophyta; Magnoliopsida; Lamiales; Oleaceae.